UCUAUUUCCGCCGCCACGCCACGCCAUCUCGGCAAGUAGUACAAGGCUCCGGCUGCCGCCACCGCCUCUGCCCCGGCUAUAAAGCCGCGCCCUUUGGCCGGCCCGCGCCUCUCGCCUCCUCGCCGCGCCCUGCCCGGUCCGCUCCUCCUCCUCCUCUUCGUCCGCGCGGCGCCUCUCUCCUUCGGCCUCCCCGCCGCGCUCCGGCCGGUCCGCUGCUCCUCCACCCUCCGUCCGGGCCCGUGCGUAUGUCCCUCGUCGAGCCGGGUUUCGUCUCGCUCGCCCUCCUCGAUCGAUUUGCCCGUCUAGAAUCGGGUCCGGAUUUGAUUUUGCUCGUCCUCGGUCCAUUCGUCCGUUCAGAGUCGCGUCCGGAUUUGAUUUUGCUCACCGUCGCCGGUUUAGAUAGCUAGAGAACCACAGCUGAUUUGAUUCUGCUCGUUCUCGCCGUCGUUCGUUUAGAACCGCGUCCGAUUUGAGUUUGCUCGCGCUGAAUUCGUCAGUUUAGAACCGCUCCCAAGUUGAUUUUGCGCAUCCCCGCCGUCGUUAGUUUAGAGUCGCUCGCUUCUGAUUUGAUUCUGCUCGUCCUCGCCGUCGCCCGUUUUCGUUUUGCUUGUCCUAGCCGUUGCCGCGACGCGCCCGCAUGUUCUUGGUCCGUCUCGUCGAGGGUCUCCCGUCUGGUUUGCGAUUCAGAAAUUUCUGCGUGCGCUUCUGUUGUCCGAGAGGAACUUUGGAUCCUGCGUUUCUUCGUGUUCGUGUCGGCGCGAGCGUUGCAGGAACGGUCGGGUCUUGGUUUUGAAAUUGGGUUGCGGCCGGAGAUGGAGAGGCGGAGAGCGAUUGUCAGUUUGUCGCGCUAGUUCAGAUUGGUUCCUAGGCUCCUGCGUUUUUCUUGUUCGUCGGUUGUUUUCAGAUCUCCAAACGGCUAGUUUGUUCGUGUUGGUCCGUGGAGACGUGCCCUUUGAUGCUCUGGUUCCUCUAGUUCAGAUUGUACCAGCUGGCCUGUUUCACUUUCGUCAGGCGUGUGUGCUCUCAUCCUAGAUGCUAUGUUCUGAUGGGUGUUACUGCUUCUGUUCUUUUCAAUUGGUUACUUCCUAUCAUGCUUCACUUAUGUUCAAUAUAUGCUGAUGUGUGUUCAGGGGUGCAAACCAUUAACCAUGUAGGCUGUGGGUGCCAUUUCGAGCAGGCAGAGUAGAACUUUUUAAAAGAGUGCAAAUCAUGUGGCUGCUACUUGACUAAUUGAACACCUGCUGUUGCUACUGUUGGACAAGGUUUCCUUGUUUUCUUCCUCGUCUUGCUGUUUCCAUUUUCAUACAGGAGUACUAGAUGAGGUGCUGCUAGUCCCUUAGAUUUCAUACUAGAUUACAUAGCAUGACUCUAGAAUUUUUUUCAUUGCACACCUGGGCAUAUGAUUCUGCUGUGAGCAUAACUCCAGAGUUUAUUUAUCUGUGAAAGCACGCUCAUCACACGUUUCUUAUCAAUGCUGCUCACUUUUGUCAUGUCCCUUCUGUUUGUCCUGUUAAAUUUUAUGGAGCAAAUUUUGUACUCACUGUUUAAAAUAUCAAGAAUGCUGACUUCUGUGUUUGUCGCUAUGUAAGCCAUGCACUUGGGAAGCCUGGGCGUGAUUAGGAUUUGGAUUGCAUAUAGAUUUUAUUCCAUGUCUGUUUAUAACCUGGUUGUGACCCAAUAUAGUGUAAAUCUGCUAAUUUUUUAAUUUAAUUUAUGUUCAACGCAAGUAGGUUUUGUUUGCAAGUGGUAUUUCUUUUGCGUGUGCAUGAACAUUCAUGCUGUCAAUUUUUCUUAUCAUAAUCAUUUACCGUGGUGUUUGACAAUACAUUUCUAUUGUUCUUUGUUCCCUUUUGAGGUUCACUGACUCAAUUAUGCAUGGGAUAUGAUAUCAAUUACUGCUGUCCAGUCACUGAAAUAAUGCUUUUCUUGCUUUGCCUAGACUUUGUGACAAGAAUAAGCAUGUGUCUCUGUGCCUACAAACUUGUGGGUACUGCCGUAGUGAUGAUGAUCCAACUAGCUUCCUGUUUUCAGGAAUGAAGAUCUGAAUUACCCUCACCCCUCUACAGAAAUCAGUUAACUCAUUCAGUUUCUGGAACUUCUUUAUAGCUUUUUGAGUUUACUUCGGUCUUGCAUGUAUUAGUUUUCUGUUUGUACCCCUAUCUAUGUAUGUUUCUUUGUCUAUUUCAUGUGUGCAAGUGAUCCAUUGUGUGUGUCUUGACUGUGUGUCUGACUGUGUGUGUGUGAUGUGCCCCUAUUAUGUAUGUUUCUUUGUCUGUUUCAUUCAUGUGUGCAAGUGCUCCAUUAUCUGUGUGUGACUCUGUUUGACUGCUUGGAUGGGGUGAUUCUGAUUGCAUUACUGCUUAUAUGGUCUGUCCAAUUGGUUUCUUAUUCAUGCUUUGCUUGUGUUCCAUUGUGUGUGUCUGACUGUGUGUGUGAUGUGCCCCUAUCUAUGUAUGUUUGUUUGUCUGUUUCAUGUGUGCAAGUGCUCCAUUAUCUGUGUGUGACUGUGUUUGACUGCUUGGAUGGGGUGAUUCUGAUUGUGUUACUGCUUAUACGGUCUGUCCAAUUGGUUUCUUAUUCAUGAUUUGCUUGUGUUCCAAUGUCGUCUCCCCAUGUAUGGGGAUGUGUUCAGGGAUGCAAACCAUUUAGGCCGUUUCGAGCAGGCAGGGAUCCAGAGAUGUGCGCUGGUCAGGCUUCUCUCCUGCUGAUAGAUGAUGAUAGGCUGAGCAGAAAAGUUUGACUCUUGUAACACUCACUUGCUUGGCUUCCACUCCUUUGUGUGGCCGAUUUGGCAUCCAAUGCAUCUCAUGCCUAUCUUAUAUAUCUCACCCACUCAUCACAACAUCCUUUUCCCUGUUUGUGUUCCUUUUUUUCUGUGUUUCGUUAUGUCUUAUGUGGAUAUCGUAUUCUUUUUUUGUAUUACUGCUGUCCAUUCACUGGAAUAAUGCUUUUCUAAGUAUUUCAGGUAGGAUAUAGACAAAUGUCACAUUUGCUCUUCCUUGUGUUGCUAAGGACACUGAUGGGUGGGGUUUGCUUACAGCGCAGGACCGAUAAUUCUGAUAGUAUGCUGAUAGUAUGCCAAGGACUGCUCAGGGUUCCUAUCGCUUUCUGUUUUACCAACUAAGGUAAUCGAAUUGAUCUUCAGCUUGCAAAUUUAUCACCUUAUGGAAGGGAAAGGUUUGCAUGUACAUGAGCUCUGAUUAUCUACAUAUAUACUUGAAUUGCUUUGGAUUUGUUGGACUGCUAUUCUACAUGAUGUUCUCCAUGAUUCACUUGAUCUGUUAAUUUGAGUAUUUUCCUGGUGAGUUCUUUAGGUUCAUCUUGUGACACAAAAUACAAUUUUGGUACGUGUAGAGUCUGAAAUUUGGUGAUAAAGAAAAGGUACCUCCUAAUUUGCUCCCGGGCUCUCUUACACUUGUCUUUGUUUAUAUAACAGUAGUGGCCUCCUGGCUUGUAGUUGGGUACUGCAGAGAGAGGUUUGGAAUUGAAGAACUAAAAUAAUGCAGAGUUGAAGGUUUUGAACGGGAAGCUUGAACAAAUAGUUUACUUUUUCUCAUGGCUUUGAUUAGUUUCAUCCUAUCUAUGUCUGUUUCUUGUGUGCAAGCACUCCAUUGUGUCUGUGUGACUGACUGUUUGUGUGUGUGACUGAUUGUGUGUGUUUCUUUGUCUGUUUCUUGUGUGCAAGCGCUCCAUUGUGUGUGUGUGACUGUGUGACUGACUGUUUGUGUGUGUGGCUGAUUGUGUGUGUUUCUUUGUCUAUUUCUUGUGUGCGAGCGCUCCAUUGUGUGUGUGCAUGUGUGUUGACUGUGACUGUGUGUCAUUUUAUGACUGUGACUGUGUAUUGAUGUGACUGUGUGUGUGUGUGUGGUGACUGUGACUGUGUGUCAUUUUAUGACUGUGUGUAUGUGUGUGUGUGUGUGUGUGUGUGUGUUGACUGUGACUGUGUGAUUGUGCAAGUGCUCCAUAACUACCUAUGCAUGGAAAUUUCUAUAAGGUCAUGGGCAUGUAAUUUAAUGACCUACAUACCUCUGUAGUUGGUAGUAUCAUUGCCCUUUGGACACUCUUCAAUACAUUGUUGUAUAUUUUCCUGCCACAAGUAUGAUGUUUGUGCUCAGAAUGAUGUAUAUGUAGAAUCCAGGGUGGAUGGAGGUUUUCAUGAUGGCUAAUUUGAUUUGUUAUGGUUCUGAUGCUGUGCUUCUUGUGUUUGAACUGAAGCCGUGGAUCACGCAUCAACCUGGUCUGUGUUUGUAUGCUGAAUUAUUUCCAGAUAGGACAGAAGUGCAAUGUCUACAUCCAUGGAAGAAGGUUUUUUAACACUGAACUCAUGAAAGCUCCUUGGACUCAAGAGGAAGAUGACAAAAUUAUUGACCUUGUAAACAAGUAUGGACCAACAAACUGGUCUCAUUGCAAGUUCAACUACCAGAACUUCCUGCUGCUGAUCCUGUGAUGUUUCCGAACAUGCUCCUGAACAUGUUCAGUUUAUCCCCCUAGGACAGAAUAAACCCACCUGUGAUCUAUCACGCUUCUUUCUUCCCUUUGCAUCGAUCCACUUGCUAUGCAGCCACUGCUAUGACACAGCAGGUUACUCGGCAUGCUCGGCGUGUUUACUUCGGUGGACUUCCUCCGAUCGCUAAUGAACAGACGGUUGCUCUAUUCUUCAAUCAAGUUGUGGCUGCUAUCAGGGGAAACACAUUUGGUCUAGGUGGCAUAAUCAUCUGAAUCCAAACAUAUGGAAUGAUGCUUGGACUACUGAGGAGGAACAUGCACUGAUUAAUGCCAUCAGGUAUAUGUGAAUAAAUGAGCAGAAAUAGCAAAAGUUCUUCCUGGAAGGUACUCCCAAACAACUUACAUCAUGGGUCUUGCUUGUAGUAUUAGCUUUCUGUUUGUGCCCUUUCUAUCUCUUGUGUGUGACUGACUGUGUGUGACUGUGAC
This is a long non-coding RNA of Triticum dicoccoides, 4932 nucleotides long. RefSeq lists it as uncharacterized. NCBI's taxonomy places the organism in Eukaryota, Viridiplantae, Streptophyta, Magnoliopsida, Poales, Poaceae. The transcript is spliced from 9 exons. The record is from RefSeq and is a predicted model, not a curated record.